AGUCACUGACAUUAGAUACCCCUGUAGUCCUAGCCGUAAACGAUACUCGCUAGGUGUCGGCCACGGUGCGACCGUUGUCGGUGCCGUAGGGAAGCCGUGAAGCGAGCCACCUGGGAAGUACGGCCGCAAGGCUGAAACUUAAAGGAAUUGGCGGGGGAGCACCACAACGGGUGGAGCUUGCGGUUUAAUUGGACUCAACGCCGGGAAGCUCACCGGAUAGGACAGCGGAAUGAUUGCCGGGCUGAAGACCCUGCAUGACCAGCUG
This 265-nucleotide ribosomal RNA is filed under the name uncultured archaeon. RNAcentral's name for it is "partial 16S ribosomal RNA". It matches the Rfam family "Archaeal small subunit ribosomal RNA", at positions 718 to 982 of the family's 1478-position model. The record is from RNAcentral.